GAGUCGACCCCUAAGGCGAGGCCGAAAGGCGUAGUCGAUGGGAAACAGGUUAAUAUUCCUGUACUUGGUGUUACUGCGAAGGGGGGACGGAGAAGGCUAUGUUGGCCGGGCGACGGUUGUCCCGGUUUAAGCGUGUAGGCUGGUUUUCCAGGCAAAUCCGGAAAAUCAAGGCUGAGGCGUGAUGACGAGGCACUACGGUGCUGAAGCAACAAAUGCCCUGCUUCCAGGAAAAGCCUCUAAGCAUCAGGUAACAUCAAAUCGUACCCCAAACCGACACAGGUGGUCAGGUAGAGAAUACCAAGGCGCUUGAGAGAACUCGGGUGAAGGAACUAGGCAAAAUGGUGCCGUAACUUCGGGAGAAGGCACGCUGAUAUGUAGGUGAAGUCCCUCGCGGAUGGAGCUGAAAUCAGUCGAAGAUACCAGCUGGCUGCAACUGUUUAUUAAAAACACAGCACUGUGCAAACACGAAAGUGGACGUAUACGGUGUGACGCCUGCCCGGUGCCGGAAGGUUAAUUGAUGGGGUCAGCGCAAGCGAAGCUCUUGAUCGAAGCCCCGGUAAACGGCGGCCGUAACUAUAACGGUCCUAAGGUAGCGAAAUUCCUUGUCGGGUAAGUUCCGACCUGCACGAAUGGCGUAAUGAUGGCCAGGCUGUCUCCACCCGAGACUCAGUGAAAUUGAACUCGCUGUGAAGAUGCAGUGUACCCGCGGCAAGACGGAAAGACCCCGUGAACCUUUACUAUAGCUUGACACUGAACAUUGAGCCUUGAUGUGUAGGAUAGGUGGGAGGCUUUGAAGUGUGGACGCCAGUCUGCAUGGAGCCGGCCUUGAAAUACCACCCUUUAAUGUUUGAUGUUCUAACGUUGACCCGUAAUCCGGGUUGCGGACAGUGUCUGGUGGGUAGUUUGACUGGGGCGGUCUCCUCCUAAAGAGUAACGGAGGAGCACGAAGGUUGGCUAAUCCUGGUCGGACAUCAGGAGGUUAGUGCAAUGGCAUAAGCCAGCUUGACUGCGAGCGUGACGGCGCGAGCAGGUGCGAAAGCAGGUCAUAGUGAUCCGGUGGUUCUGAAUGGAAGGGCCAUCGCUCAACGGAUAAAAGGUACUCCGGGGAUAACAGGCUGAUACCGCCCAAGAGUUCAUAUCGACGGCGGUGUUUGGCACCUCGAUGUCGGCUCAUCACAUCCUGGGGCUGAAGUAGGUCCCAAGGGUAUGGCUGUUCGCCAUUUAAAGUGGUACGCGAGCUGGGUUUAGAACGUCGUGAGACAGUUCGGUCCCUAUCUGCCGUGGGCGCUGGAGAAUUGAGGGGGGCUGCUCCUAGUACGAGAGGACCGGAGUGGACGCAUCACUGGUGUUCGGGUUGUCAUGCCAAUGGCACUGCCCGGUAGCUAAAUGCGGAAGAGAUAAGUGCUGAAAGCAUCUAAGCACGAAACUUGCCCCGAGAUGAGUUCUCCCUGACUCCUUGAGAGUCCUGAAGGAACGUUGAAGACGACGACGUUGAUAGGCCGGGUGUGUAAGCGCAGCGAUGCGUUGAGCUAACCGGUACUAAUGAACCGUGAGGCUUAACC
RNAcentral lists this ribosomal RNA (1562 nucleotides) under Escherichia coli. RNAcentral's name for it is "bacterial LSU rRNA". It matches the Rfam family "Bacterial large subunit ribosomal RNA", at positions 1379 to 2925 of the family's 2925-position model. Lineage: Bacteria; Pseudomonadati; Pseudomonadota; Gammaproteobacteria; Enterobacterales; Enterobacteriaceae. The record is from RNAcentral.